RNAcentral lists this ribosomal RNA (492 nucleotides) under uncultured bacterium. RNAcentral describes it as "partial 16S ribosomal RNA". It matches the Rfam family "Bacterial small subunit ribosomal RNA", at positions 29 to 507 of the family's 1533-position model. The record is from RNAcentral.
AGUGAACGCUGGCGGUAGGCCUAACACAUGCGAGUCGAACGGCAGCACAGUAAGAGCUUGCUCUUACGGGUGGCGAGUGGCGGACGGGUGAGGAAUACAUCGGAAUCUACUUUUUCGUGGGGGAUAACGUAGGGAAACUUACGCUAAUACCGCAUACGACCUACGGGUGAAAGCAGGGGAUCUUCGGACCUUGCGCGAUUGAAUGAGCCGAUGUCGGAUUAGCUAGUUGGCGGGGUAAAGGCCCACCAAGGCGACGAUCCGUAGCUGGUCUGAGAGGAUGAUCAGCCACACUGGAACUGAGACACGGUCCAGACUCCUACGGGAGGUAGCAGUGGGGAAUAUUGGACAAUGGGCGCAAGCCUGAUCCAGCCAUACCGCGUGGGUGAAGAAGGCCUUCGGGUUGUAAAGCCCUUUUGUUGGGAAAGAAAAGCAGCAGGUUAAUACCCCGCUGUUCUGACGGUACCCAAAGAAUAAGCACCGGCUAACUUCGUG